AGCUUUUCGAAUCCGUGCUGAGAUUUCGUCAGAUAUCAAUCCAUUAGGGCUGAUCAAACUUCCAAGAUAAAUGAAAUU
This 78-nucleotide microRNA precursor is filed under the name Schistosoma margrebowiei. RNAcentral describes it as "mir-3492 microRNA precursor family". It matches the Rfam family "mir-3492 microRNA precursor family". Lineage: Eukaryota; Metazoa; Platyhelminthes; Trematoda; Strigeidida; Schistosomatidae. The record is from Rfam by way of RNAcentral.